GGCUCCCCGCCCCCCGCCCGGCCCCACCUCAGGCUUCCACUCUACCCACCCGCGGAACCGAGAGCCCGGUCCUUUUCCUGCUGCCGAGGACUGAGCGGCCCCGCGUGACAGCCAGCUGCUCCAGGCCCGGGUGGCUCCGGGGACAGUCGAGCGCCGGCAGCAGCUGGCCCUGGCCCCGGGUCUAGGCGUGGGUUCGGCCGCCGGGCCCGGUGGGAAGGGCCUAGCGCGGCCAGGCAUAUACUGGUUGGGCUCCAGCCAUGGCAAAACUCCAUCGGCGUGUGUCUACUCACCUGGACAUCCUCUCCUUGGAGAACCGGUGCCUGGCCACACUUCCUGACCUGAAGACCUUGGAGAAACCACAUGGGCAUGUGUCUACCCACUCAGACAUCCUCUCCUUGGAGAACCGGUGCCUGGCCACACUUCCUGACCUGAAGACCUUGGAGAAACCACAUGGGCAUGUGUCUACCCACUCAGACAUCCUCUCCUUGGAGAACCGGUGCCUGGCCACACUUCCUGACCUGAAGACCUUGGAGAAACCACAGGGGCGUGUGUCUACCCACUCAGACAUCCUCUCCUUGGAGAACCGGUGCCUGGCCACACUUCCUGACCUGAAGACCUUGGAGAAACCACAGGGGCGUGUGUCUACCCACUCAGACAUCCUCUCCUUGGAGAACCGGUGCCUGGCCACACUUCCUGACCUGAAGACCUUGGAGAAACCACAUGGGCAUGUGUCUGCCCACUCAGACAUCCUCUCCUUGGAGAACCGGUGCCUGGCCACACUCCCCACUCUGAAGAGCACUGUGUCCACCAGCCCCUUAACCCAGAAUCUCCAGAUACCUCACGUGGUGCAAUCUGACCUGUGCAGCCUGAGUGCCAGCAACCACCUGCUCUCUGAGCCUCCAGCCUCAAGGGCUCAGUGCUUCUCUGAGGGUCUAGGCCUUCUGACCUGCCCCAGGGUCUUGAAAACCAUCUCUGCCACAGAGAGAGCUCAGGAAGCAGCUUCGGGUCGAUGGUCUUCUGGAGAGAAAAAGCCAGAAGACAAGGAAUGGGCAGAGGCUCAAAUGCCUUUUUAUAGUCUAAGCUUGGGAGAGGCGGAGAAAGUGGAGGAGCUGACCCUGAAGCUCACCCCUGGGGACUCUGAGUCCCGUCCUGAGCCUGCUGACCAGGCCCUUCAGGAAAAGAAGAUGGUUCUAAUGAGCUUCCUCUGUUCUACUCUGGUGUCAGACGUAAACACAAAUGAUGCAGCUUCCUCUACCCAGGCGUUCCUCCUCCAAGUCUGUAGUGAACUUGCCCCCUUGGAGCCUGAAUUUAUACUCAAGGCAUCUCUGUACGCCAGGCGGCAGCUGAAUGUCCGGGAUGUGGCCAACAAAGUCUUGGCCAUUGCUGCCUCCUUGCCAGUCUGCCGCCCCUACCUGCGACGAUAUUUCUGUGCCAUUGUCCAGCUGCCUUCUGAUUGGAUCCAGGUAGCCAGGUUCUACCAGCUCCUGACUGGAGAAGAGGAGGACAGGCUGGUGCCCCUGCCUGCCUGCCUGCGUGCUGCGAUGACGGACAAAUUUGCCCAGUUUGAUGAGUACCAGCUGGCUAAGUAUAACCCUCGGAAGCACCGGGCCAAGAGGCGCCCCCGCCGGCCACCCCGCCCUCCAAAGGAGCAUACAUUUUCUGAGACACAGAAAUACUUGCCAAAGUUCAUUCGGCCUCUUCAAGAUGAACAGAGGAUGUUUGAGGCAACCUGCAGUGCAGUGUCAGAGAAAAAGAAUGAGCCAAGUUUCACCCUGAAGAAGUUGGUACAGAGACUGCACAUCCAUGAGCCUGCACAGCUUGUCCAGGCCCUCCUGGGCUGCAGAUACCCCUCCAACCUACAGGCCUUUUCUCGAAGUCGCCUCCCGGGGCCCUGGGAUUCUAGCAGAGCCGGGAAGCGGAUGAAGCUUGCUAAGCCAGAGACCUGGGAGCGAGAGCUGAGCUUGUGGGGGAACAAAGCUUCCGUCUGGGAGGAACUCAUCGACAGUGGGAAGCUUCCCUUCAUGGCCAUGCUUCGGAAUCUGCGCAACCUGCUGCGGGUUGGAAUCAGCACCCGCCACCACAACCUUGUGCUCCAGAGACUCCAGCAUGCUAAGUCAGUGAUCAACAGUCGGCAGUUUCCAUUCAGAUUCCUUAAUGCUCAUGAUUCCAUCAAUGACUUUGAGGCUCAACUCGAAAAGAAAGAGUUGCCACUUCCUUCCAACACAAAACUGAUAAAGCGGAUAAUAAUUAAAAACACAAGAUAUGGCAAGAAGUGUGCCUAUUCCUGGCAGUUUUACAAACCAAGUCGUCGGGAGCUUCGGGCAGCAAUGAUGAUCCCCGUGAUAUAUGAGCAGCUCAAGCGGAAGAAGCUGAAAAUACACAAGGCCAGACAGUGGAAAUAUGACCGUGCAAUGCUGGCUCAGUAUCGACAGGCCCUCGAGACAGCUGUGAACCUCUCCGUCAAACACAGCCUGCCCCCGCUGCCAGGCCGCACCCUCUUGGUCUAUCUGACAGAUGCUGAUGCAGACAGGAUCCUUCCCAAGAGCAACCCACAAGGGCCCCCUCUGAACUAUGUGCUGCUGUUGAUUGCAAUGAUGAUGACAUGGACAGAGCAGGUGGAUCUCUUGCUGUGUGGAAGUGGCACUGUGAAGACUGCUGUGAUUAAGGCAGAGGAAGGUAUCCUGAAGACUGCCACCAAACUCCAAGCUCAAGUCCAGGAGUCGGAUGAAAAGUGUGAAUCGUCCCUGCCUACUUUUGGGAAGCACUUGCUGUCCCUGGCUACCCAAAGGGUCCCUGUGGACAGGGUCAUCGUCUUUGGCCAGACUACGAAUGAGAAACUGAUAAAUGCAGCCAAACAGCUUUUCUGGCAACACGUGAAUCCCAAGUGCCUCUUUGUUGGUGUUCUCCUAAGAAGGACAGGUUACCUAUACACAGAUUUGAAUCCCAAUGACGUGACACUCUCAGGCUGCACUGACGGGAUACUGAAGUUCAUUGCAGAGCGUGGGGCCUCCCGCCUUCUAGAACAUGUAGGCCAAAUGGACAAAAUAUUCAAGAUUCCACCGCCCCCAGGGAAGACAGAGGUCCAGUCUCUCCGGCCACUGGAAGAGAAUACUCCAAGCCCCUUGGCUCCUGUUUUCCAACGUGGAUGGCGCAGCGUCCGGCUUUUCAUUUCCUCCACUUUCCGGGACAUGCAUGGGGAGCGGGACCUGCUGCUGAGGUCCCUGCUGCCAGCACUGCAGGCCCGAGCGGCCCCCCACUGCAUCAGCCUUCAUGCCAUCGACUUGCGCUGGGGCGUCACCGAGGAGGAGACCCGUCGGAACAGGCAGCUGGAAGUGUGCCUAGGGGAGGUGGAGAACUCACAGCUGUUUGUGGGCAUCCUGGGCUCCCGCUAUGGCUAUGUUCCCCCCAACUACAGCCUCCCUGACCGUCCUCACUUCCUCUGGGCCCAGCAGUACCCUUCAGGUCGCUCUGUGACGGAGAUGGAGGUGAUGCAGUUCCUGAAUCGGGGCCUCCGCCUGCAGCCCUCUGCCCAGCCUCUCAUCUACUUCCGGGAUUCUAGCUUCCUCAGCUCUGUGCCAGAUGCCUGGAAGUCUGACUUUAUUUCUGAGUCGGAAGAGGCUGCCCAUCGGCUCUCAGAACUGAAGAGCUACCUGAGCAGACAGGAAGGGAUCACCUGUCGCAGAUACCACUGUAAGUGGGGUGAUGUAGCAGCUGGCCGGCCCUAUGUUGGGGAGCUGGAGACGUUUGGGCAGCUGGUUCUGCAGGACGUGUGGAAUAUGAUCCAGAAGCUUUACCUACAGCCUGCGGCCCAGCCGGAACAGCCAGUGCCCAUCCAGGAUGAUGAUUUGGUCCAGGCCGCCUUUCAGCAGCUGAAGAACCCACCGAGCCCUGCCCGACCGCGCCUUCUUCAGGACACAGUGCAGAAGCUGAGGCGCCACCGGGGGAGGCUGAGCCUGGUGACCGGGCAGUCGGGACAGGGCAAGACCACCUUCCUGGCAUCCCUUGUGUCAGCCCUGCAAGCUCCUGAUGGGGCCACGGUGGCCCCCUUAGUCUUCUUCCACUUUUCAGGGGCCCGCCCUGACCAGGGUCUCGUCCUCACCUUGCUCAGACGCCUCUGUGCCUAUCUGCGUAGCCAACUGCAAGAGCCAAGUGCCCUCCCCAGCACAUACCGGGGCCUGGUGUGGGAGCUGCAGCAGAGGCUGCUCCCCAAGUCUGCUCAGUCCCUGAAAACCGGCCAGCCUCUGGUGCUGAUCAUCGAUGGGGCUGACAGGUUGGUGGACAAGCGUGGACGGCUGAUCUCGGACUGGAUCCCUAAGACCCUUCCCCGGUGGGUGCACCUGGUGCUGAGUGUGUCCAGUGAUUCCGGCCUGGGGGAGACACUCGAGCAGAGCCAAGGUGCCCAUGUGGUGGCCCUGGGGCCUCUGGAGCCAUCUGCCCGGGCCCGACUGGUGCGAGAGGAGCUGGCUCUGUACGGGAAGCGGCUGGAAGAGUCACCUUUCAACAACCAGAUGCAGCUGCUGCUGGUGAAGCGGGGGUCAGCCCUGCCGUUCUACCUGCGCUUGGUCACUGAUCACCUGAGGCUCUUCACGCUCUUCGAGCAGGUGUCUGAGAGACUCCGGACCCUGCCCGCUACCGUCCCUCUGCUGCUGCAGCACAUCCUGGGCACCUUGGAACAAGAGCAUGGCCCUGAUGUCUUUCCCCAAGCCUUGGCCACCCUUGAGGUCACCCGCAGUGGUCUGACCGUGGACCAGUUGCAUGGAGUGUUGAGUGCCUGGCGGAUACUUCCCGGGGGGACCAAGACCUGGGAAGAAGCAGUGGCUGCUGGUAACAGCGGGGACCCCUACCCCAUGGGUUCGUUUGCCUACCUCGUCCAGAGUCUGCGCAGUUUGCUAGGGGAGGGACCCCUGGAGCGCCCUGGUGCCCGGCUUUGCCUCCGUGAUGGGCCCCUGAGAACAGCCGCUAAAUGUCGCUAUGGGAAGAGGCCAGAGCUGGAGAAGACGGCACACAUCCUCAUCGCAGCUCAGCUCUGGAAGACGUGUGACCCUGAUGCCUCAGGUGCCUUCCGAAGUUGCCCUCCUGAAGCUCUGGGAGACCUGCCUUAUCACCUGCUCCAGAGCGGGAACCGUGGCUUUCUUGCAAAGUUCCUUACCAGUCUCCACGUGGUGGCUGCACACCUGGAACUGGGUCUGAUGUCUCAGCUCCUGGAGGCCCAUGCCCUCUAUGCUUCCUCAGUCCCUGACAAGGAACAGAAGCUUCCUGAGGCUGAUGUUGCUGUAUUUCACACCUUCCUGAGGCAGCAGGCUUCAGUCCUCAGCCAGUACCCACUGCUCCUGCACCAGCAGGCAGCCAACCAGCCUCUGUACUCGCCCCUUUGCCGCCAGGCCCCCCAGCUCUCCCAGCGAUGGUACCUCCAGCACAUGCUACGUUGGCUUAAUAAACCCCAGACCCUGAGGGGCCAGCAAAGCUCCAGCCUGUCCCUGGCAGUUUCCUCACCCCCCACAGCUGCGGCCUUCUCCCCCAAUGGGCAAAGAGCAGCUGUGGGCACUGCCAGUGGGACGGUUUACCUGUUGGACCUGAGAACCUGGCAGGAGGAGAGGUCUGUGGUGAGUGGCUGUGAUGGGGUCUCCUCUUGUUCGUUCCUCUCCGACAACGCCCUCUUUCUUACUGGCUUUGACGGGCUCCUGGAGCUCUGGGACCUGCAGCAAGGCUGUCGGGUGCUCCAGAUCAAGGCUCACCAGCACCGGAUCACCGGCUGCUGCCUGAGCCCAGACGGCCGGCUUCUGGCCACCGUGUGCCUGGGGGGAGGCUUGAAGCUGUGGGACACGGUCCGCGGGCAGCUGGCCUCCCAGCACGCCUGUCCCAAGCCUCUCAACUGCAUCGCUUUCCACCCAGAGGGGCAGGUGAUAGCCAUUGGCAGCUGGGCUGGCAGUUUCAGCUUCUUCCAGGUGGAUGGGCUCCAAGUCACCAAGGAACUGGGGGCCCCAGGAGCCUCUGUCCGCGCCUUGGCCUUCAGUGCGUCUGGGCGGGCUGUAGCUGUGGGCCGGCUGGACGGGAUGGUGGAGCUCUGGGUCUGGCAGGAGGGAACACGGCUGGCUGCCUUCCCUGCGCACCACGGCUUUGUUACUGCCGCCCUUUUCCUGCGUGCUGGGUGCCAGUUACUGACGGCUGGAGAGGAUGGCAAGGUUCAGGUGUGGUCCGGGUCUCUGGGUCGUCCCCGUGGGUGCCUAGGUUGCCCCUCUCUCUCUUCUGCCCUCUCUGUGGCCCUCAGCCCAGAUGGCGAUCAGGUGGCUGUUGGGUACCGAGCAGAUGGCAUUCGGAUCUACACAAUCUCUUCAGGUUCCCAGGGGGCUCAGUGUCAAGCGCUAGAUGUGGCAGUGUCUGCACUGGCCUGGCUCAGCCCUAAGGUGUUGGUGAGUGGUGCUGAAGAUGGGGCCCUGCAGGGCUGGAUGCUCCAGGGAGGCUCCCUUCAGUCCCUCUGGCUCUUGUCCAGACACCGGAAGCCUGUGCUGGCACUGGCCACGUCCCAGGAACUCGUGGCUGCUGCCUCAGAGGACUUCACAGUGCGUCUGUGGCCAAGGCAGUUGCUGGCACUGCCACAAAAGACAGAAGACUUUCCCUGUGGCACUGAGCUCCGGGGACACGAGGGCCCCGUAAGCUGCUGUAGCUUCAGCACCGAUGGAUGCAGCCUGGCCACCGGGGGCAGGGAUCGGAGUCUGCUCUGCUGGGAUGUGAGGACACCCAAAGCCCCUGUUCUGAUUUGCUCCUUCUCUGCCUGUCACCGAGACUGGGUCACUGGCUGUGCCUGGACCAAAGACAACCUCCUGGUCUCCUGCUCCAGUGAUGGCUCUGUAGGGCUGUGGGACCCAGAGUCGAGACAGCAGCUUGGUCAGUUCCUGGGUCACCAGAGUGCCGUGAGCGCCGUGCUGGCCGUGGAGGGGCACGUGGUAUCUGUGGGCCGAGAUGGGACCUUGAAAGUGUGGGACCAUCAGGGUGUGGAGAUGACCAGCAUCCCUGCUCACCCAGGACCCAUCAGCCACUGUGCAGCUGCCCUGGAGCCCAGUGCAGCUGGCCAGCUGGGGUCAGAGCUUCUGGUGGUAACUGUGGGAUUGGAUGGGGCCACACGGUUGUGGAAUCCACUCUUGGUGUUUCAAACACACAGCCUCCUGGGACACAGUGGCCCAGUCAGUGCAGCCGCUGUUUCAGAAACCUCAGGCCUCCUGCUGACUGCCUCAGAGGAUGGUUCCAUACAGCUCUGGCAGGUACCUGAAGAAGCAGAUGACACAUAUAUACCCAGGAGUCAUGCAGGCGUCACUGCUGUGGCCUGGGCCCCAGACGGUUCUAUAGCAGUGUCUGGGAAUCAAGCUGGGGAACUCACCUUGUGGCAGGAAGCAAAGGCUGUGGCCACAGCACAGGCUCCAGGCCUCAUCAGUGCUCUGAUCUGGUACUCAGCACACACCUUGAUUGUUGUCAGUGCUGAUGAAAAAGUCAGUGAGUGGCAAGUGGACCUGCAGAAGGGUUCGGCACCCAGAAAUUUCAGUCUUCACCUGAACCGAGUUCUGCAGGAGGACUUAGGGUUCCUGACAGGUGUAAGUCUGGUCCCUGACGGUCACUCCCUCAUCUUGGCCAAAGCAGAUUUGCAAUUACUGCACAUGAAGCCAGGCAAUGAGCCCUCUGUAAUCUGGAGAAGCUAUUCAGAAGAUCCUAUAAUGUUGUCCACCCACCAGGACUAUGGUGUGUUUGUCCUGCAGUCAAUGAACCUCAGAGUUCUUUCUUUCUCAAGCCAAAAGGAAUUAGGAGAGUUUGCAGAGUGCCCAGAAUUUGAUCUGAGCUUAGAGAAUCCUAAUAAGACCCUCAUAUCGGUAACUCAGGCCAAACCUGAAUCUGAGUCCUCAUUUUUGUGUGCCAGCUCUGAUGGGACGCUGUGGAACCUAGCUAGAUGCAACGUUGAAGGAGAAUGGACCACAGAUAAUAUCUGGCAGGAAAAAGUAGAAAUGCCUGAAACCCGAACUCCAGAGACAGACGCGUGUGUAUGUGCUGACACGUAUACCUGUCCAGCAGUCCCACAGCUAAAGACACGGCAACGUAGAAAGAUUCACACGGGCUCUGUCACAGCCCUCCACGUGCUGCCUGAGUUGCUGGUGACAGCUUCAAAGGACAGAGAUGUUAAACUGUGGGAGAGACCCAGUAUGCAGCUCCUGGGCCUGUUCCGAUGUGAAGGGGCAGUGAGCUGCCUGGAACCUUGGCUGGGUCCUAACUCUGCCCUGCAGCUCGCAGUGGGAGACACACAGGGCAAUGUAUACUUUCUGUCCUGGGAAUGAAGAUCACUGCUCAGGGCAGAGAGACCGCUUGUGCCAGAGAUGCAAAGCCUGAAGACACCAGUGGCUACGUUCUUGAUACAAUUAUAUAAAUAAAAGGACCGUAAGGUAUGACUCCUACCAGGAGGAGGAAUGAAAGUGAUGUUGACCAGCACUUAGUUUGAACAGAAAUCUGAAGACCUCUCACUUGUUCAAGGAAGAGGAAGAGAAGGAAGAAUGAGUCACUUGGGCCCUGGUUCAGGGUAUUUGGAAAGAACUGGGAUAGAACCAGGACAACGCUAGGUUCCUGUCACAGAAGCAGCCCCAUCUACUCAGAGCCAACUGCCCAGAUUUUAUGUGGAGAAAUCACCUGAAGGACUUUAUCUUAUUUCUACCAAUGCCUCAUAUUCUCUCUCAGCCUGAGGAUAAAGACAUAAGGAAUGCCAUCAGCUGACAAGUUUUAAUCAUAGGUCAUGCUUCUGUCUUUUAUCCCAUGCCUCAUGCAGGGCUCUAAAUAUACCUUCUAGACUACCUGCUCUACAUGAACCUUGUGACUAGAAGUCCAGGUUAAGGUAAUUUGAAACUUAUGAUUCAUACUACUACCCAGAAACGCUACAGAGAACCAUGGUACAGCAUCAUCCUGGAAGUCACUGGGUUCAAUCGUUCCCCUGAAAGCAUGGGCCAAGGAAGGAGGAAGCCCUAGAUGUCUGUCUUCCAUGCUCUAAAAAUUCUACAAAGGCACCCCAGCUGAGGAUGGAGGAGUGGGGCUGGAGAAAGUAAAGCAUACCUUGCUCAGUAGACUCAGCUCUGUUUACCAGGUCCACCUGAAGGGUGUGAUCUUUCUUAUCUUGGAGAUAUAAUUGCUAUGAGUGAACAACAGGUUCUAGGUAACAGUAAAUAUGUCCCCAAGGGAGUUGAAGGGAAAAUCAGUUUAGGUUUUACGUUAAAUAUUUUCUGAGUUCUUAUCGUUAAACAAUUUCAGUGUCUCCCAGUGCCUGGAUGAGUUCAAUUAUAGUCACUGGAUUAUAGGAUCAUAGGACAUUGGAACAGUCUUCUUCAACCCACAGAAGCACCUUUUUCAUGUGUCAGUUUUUAACAUCUGUUUUUACACAUCUGUGCAGUUUGGGUUUUUUUGUUUGUUUUGGCCGUGCCGUGCGGCUUGCAGGAUCUCAGUUCCCUGACCAGGGAAUGAACCUGGGCCAAAGCAGUGAGAGCCCAGAAUCCUAACCACUCGGCCAUCGGGGAACUCUCACCCCAAUUUGUUUUUGAAAUCUAGAACAUAUCUAUUCAAAGCUUGGUUUGUGGGCUUCCCUGGUGGCGCAGUGGUUGAGAGUCCGCCUGCCGAUGCAGGGGACGCGGGUUCGUGCCCCGGUCCGGGAAGAUCCCACAUGCCGCAGAGCGGCUGGGCCCGUGAGCCAUGGCCACUGAGCCUGCGCGUCCGGAGCCUGUGCUCCGCAACGGGAGAGGCCACGACACAAAAACAAAAACAAAGUUUGGUUUGUGGACCAGUGCUGUUCCACAAAUUCUUGAGGGUUCAUUUUCCUGGUACUUCAUUUUUAUUAUAUUUUACGAAAGUAUUGUUCCAUGACAGGUCAGAAAUUUGUUUUAACAAGACUGCUUCCCUUUCCCCAUCUGUAAAAUAGGCAUAAAAUUGCCUAUUUUUUAGGGAUGUUGUGAGGAUUAAAUGAGUUAAAACAUGUGAAACACUUAGAACAGUAGUUGACACUUACAUGGUAAAUGUUCAGGAAGUGCUUGACUGUUCUUUUCCUUAUCCACUAGUGCAAGUAUCACCUUGUUAUUCUUUCUCAAAAAUGUCUUGGUUAUUGGUAUAUAUUUAAUCAGUCAGAUGAAAUCUGGACUUAAUUUUUCAGUUAAAAAAUAUAUAUAUGGGGAACUGAUAGAAUUUUUAAAAAAGAAAAAAACCCCACUUGUUGGCUCUAAAUCUACCUGGAAAUAAAACACAUCACUUCCACUCAUAUUUUAUAUAUGUGAGCAAAGCAAGUCACACGGCUCUGCCUAUUGUCAAAGGGGAGGGAAGUGUCAUCCUACCAUGUAUCUGGAAGAACUAGGAACCAGAUACACAGUUAUACCCUCAAAGAACCUGUGUUGAUGCUUUUCCAGUAGAAUGGCUCUUAGUCCUUUUUUAAAAAAGAUCAGUUAAGAUUUACACAGAAUAUUCCCACAUACCCUUCUUCACCCAGCUUCCUCUAGUGUUAACAUCUUACAUAACCAAAAAAUUAACAUUGAUACAAUAUUAUUAACUACAUAUGUGAUUCGAUUUCCUCAGUUUUUCCACUAGUAUCUUCAUUUUGUUCCAGGUCCAAUCCAGAAUACCACAUUGCAUUUAGUCAUUAUGGCGCCUUAGUCUAAUCCUUCAGCUGUGACCCUGUCUCAGACUUUCCAUAGUCUUGACAUUCUUGGAGAUUUCUGGUCAGGUGUUUUGUAGAAUAUCCCUCAGUUUGGCUUUGUCUGCUGUCUUCUCAUGAACAGACUGAAAUUAUGAAUUUAAAGGAAGAAUACAAGAGAUGAUGUGCCCUUCUUGUUACAUCAUAUCAAAAGCAAUGAUAUCAACAUGACUUAUUACUAGUGGUGUUAACCUUGAUCACUUGUAAGGUUGACGCGAUGUUUGCCAGGUUUUUCUUACUGUACCUUCUCCAUAUUGUUUGUUAGAAGCAAGUCAUUAAGUCUAGCUCACACUCAAGGGGAAGGGGAUUAAGCCUCUAAGAGGGAGAUAUAUCAAAGAAUUUGUGGUAAUCACCACAAAAUCAAUAAAUUUUGAGGUAAGUGUUUUUAGACUAUGCAAAUAUUCUGUUUUCACUGACUUUUUAAUAUUCAUGCAUCAAUCUUGCCUGAGCAAUUAUGACUGUGAUUUUCUAAUGAUGAUUUUCUAUUUCCCUCAGCCCUUCUAUAUUAAUUGAAAUUCUAAAAGGAAUGUUUAUCCCCUCUUCCCCACUUAUUUAUAUAUUGAGUCAUUCACAUAUCAGUAUGGACUCAUGAAUAUCUAUUUUACUUUUUGGGAGCCUAUUGCAUUUUAUUACUUAAACUACAUAGUAUGUAUAUUUCAAUGCAACUUUUUUGGCCACUAUUUUUAAAGGAAAAAUAUAUAUCACAAAAAUUCAGUAUAGCAUUUUAAAUUGAGAUAUAAUUCAUUUUCACCUUUUUUUUUUUUUU
Molecule: RNA transcript, 11465 nt
Organism: Orcinus orca (killer whale)
Lineage: Eukaryota; Metazoa; Chordata; Mammalia; Artiodactyla; Delphinidae
Gene: TEP1
Gene name: telomerase associated protein 1
Exons: 57
Source: RefSeq, a predicted model, not a curated record